RNAcentral lists this ribosomal RNA (256 nucleotides) under uncultured bacterium. Its description in RNAcentral is "partial 16S ribosomal RNA". It matches the Rfam family "Bacterial small subunit ribosomal RNA", at positions 524 to 776 of the family's 1533-position model. The record is from RNAcentral.
UACGGGGGGGAGCAAGCGUUUGUUCGGAUUUACUGGGCGUAAAGGGCGCGUAGGCGGUCGUGACAAGUCACUUGUGAAAUCUCCGGGCUUAACUCGGAACGGUCAAGUGAUACUGUCGGACUAGAGUACAGAAGGGGCAACUGGAAUUCUCGGUGUAGCGGUGAAAUGCGUAGAUAUCGAGAGGAACACCUGCGGCGAAGGCGGGUUGCUGGGCUGAUACUGACGCUGAGGCGCGAAAGCGUGGGGAGCAAACAGG